Megalops cyprinoides (Indo-Pacific tarpon) is the source of this 615-nucleotide long non-coding RNA. RefSeq lists it as uncharacterized. Lineage: Eukaryota; Metazoa; Chordata; Actinopteri; Elopiformes; Megalopidae. The record is from RefSeq and is a predicted model, not a curated record. The transcript has 3 exons.
GUUGUUUCAGUGCAACAGUUCCCCUUUCGAGUUUUUCUCUUUUUUGUCAGAUGCAAACUGACAUAUGAAACUGUACUUGGGCUAGAAGCAUCAACACACAGCAGUCGAACAUACAUGAGAGAGGACUGAAAGCUAGAGAGGCAAUUAAGCGCAGUCAGAAUUGUUCCUAAUUAUUGGAUACCUGCUAUUUGAAGAAGACGGCCAACACGGCAAAUAUGGUAAUUGACAGAGUCUCCGAAGACUUUGCAGGCGUUGGAAAUCCGAGCGUUGGGAUGAUGACGAGCCCAAUCAGUUUGUCAGCUUUCUAUGGAAACUCACUUCUGGGGAUGCACGAACCCGCAAACCACACUGAGGACUGGCUCCCCCGGCCGCCGCAAUCGGAUUCUGAGUCGGGCAAACCCUGGAGCACUGCAAUCCCAACCCCUAGCUAUCUCAACCACAUUAACGCUGAAACCACUAUGGGGAGUGUGAGUCCCCCAUCGUAUCAGGGUGUGUGUGUAAAGAACCCAGCGAGCGAGAUGAUCAUGCAGAAGCAUAGUGGUUAUGCAUCUUGGAGCCCUGGCUGCCACAACCAACAGCUAUUGCAGCACUACAAUAUACAUGAUCACCACACAG